Long non-coding RNA from Tyto alba (common barn owl), 677 nucleotides. RefSeq lists it as uncharacterized. The record is from RefSeq and is a predicted model, not a curated record. The transcript has 4 exons. Lineage: Eukaryota; Metazoa; Chordata; Aves; Strigiformes; Tytonidae.
CUGUCCUCACCAGAUUCUGGGCCCCACGACCUGUGUUGGAGCCUGCAGACCUGCGUGGGCAUGGUCGUCCCUCUCCCGUUUGCCUGUGAAAGGAAGAAUCUGGGAGAAGACACAACCAGGACAGCCAACCUAAACUGGCCAAAGGGGUAUUCCAUACCAUAUGAUGUCAUGCUCAGUAUAUAAACUAGGGGGAAAGCUGGUUGAGGGCCGCUGCUCGGUAACAGGCUGGUUAUUGGUUGGCAGGUGUCACACUGCCUUGAUGUGUGUUGUAUGGAUUAGCAAAACAUCAGAGUCUCAGAGGAGCUGUGCUUUGCUGAUAAAGACAUCUCUUAUGACACCAAUACUACUCCCUGUGAGGCUGAUAGGAAGGAUACCAUCAUGAUACCAUAGCAUAAGAACUGCUUUGGUAAUGUUUGAUUCAGAAGCCUGUAUGAUUAUAGUACUGAUACAAUAAGGUUAAUGGUAUGAACUUGGUUUUGGGGCUUACAGAUGAGUGGAAUCCGUUCUUCAAAGUGGUAAUCUUCAUGAGGAGACCUCACCUUUGGCAAAAUGAUUGCUCCUAUGAAGCUCUGCUGAACCUGGGGGAAAAUUGGAGUUUUGCUGUACUGAUAUCCAUCGGAAUGUUGCCUUGUACUCUUCACCAGCAGAUUUAAUUUAAAGAAAAUAUCUGUUAUAAA